This 433-nucleotide ribosomal RNA is filed under the name uncultured bacterium. Its description in RNAcentral is "partial 16S ribosomal RNA". It matches the Rfam family "Bacterial small subunit ribosomal RNA", at positions 29 to 507 of the family's 1533-position model. The record is from RNAcentral.
AGCGAACGCUGGCGGCAGGCCUAACACAUGCAAGUCGAACGAACCUUUCGGGGUUAGUGGCGGACGGGUGAGUAACACGUGGGAACGUGCCUUUAGGUUCGGAAUAACUCAGGGAAACUUGUGCUAAUACCGAAUGUGCCCUUCGGGGGAAAGAUUAAUCGCCUUUAGAGCGGCCCGCGUCUGAUUAGCUAGUUGGUUGAGGUAAUGGCUCACCAAGGCGACGAUCAGUAGCUGGUCUGAGAGGAUGAUCAGCCACAUUGGGACUGAGACACGGCCCAAACUCCUACGGGAGGCAGCAGUGGGGAAUCUGCGCAAUGGGCGAAAGCCUGACGCAGCCAUGCCGCGUGAAUGAUGAAGGUCUUAGGAUUGUAAAAUUCUUUCACCGGGGACGAUAAUGACGGUACCCGGAGAAGAAGCCCCGGCUAACUUCGUG